AACCUCCGCAAUGUGAGAAAUCGCGACGGGGGGAUCCCAAGUGCCAUUCUUAACGGGAUGGCUUUUCAUUAGUGUAAAGAGCUUUUGGAAUAAGAGCUGGGCAAGACCGGUGCCAGCCGCCGCGGUAACACCGGCAGCUCUAGUGGUAACAAUUUUUAUUGGGCCUAAAGCGUCCGUAGCCGGUUUAAUAAGUCUCUGGUGAAAUCCUGUAGCUUAACUGUGGGAAUUGCUGGAGAUACUAUUAGACUUGAGACCGGGAGAGGUUAGAGGUACUCCCAGGGUAGAGGUGAAAUUCUGUAAUCCUGGGAGGACCACCUGUGGCGAAGGCGGCUAACUGGAACGAACCUGACGGUGAGGGACGAAAGCUAGGGGCGCGAACCGGAUUAGAUACCCGGGUAGUCCUAGCCAUAAACGAUGCGGACUUGGUGUUGGGAUGGCUUUGAGCCGCUCCAGUGCCGAAGGGAAGCUGUUAAGUCCGCCGCCUGGGAAGUACGGUCGCAAGACUGAAACUUAAAGGAAUU
This 521-nucleotide ribosomal RNA is filed under the name uncultured bacterium. RNAcentral's name for it is "bacterial SSU rRNA". It matches the Rfam family "Archaeal small subunit ribosomal RNA", at positions 345 to 866 of the family's 1478-position model. The record is from RNAcentral.